UGACUCUGAUGAUUAUUUUUUGUUACCUUUCCUAUUUAGAUCUGCACCAAUCCUUGUCAGAAAAUUGAGAAGUCAUGGCAUAGUCAAAUCUGAACAAGCCGUGUGGAGCUUCGCCAUGAGUCUGCGCAUGAAUUUGGGAAUGGACGGAUGUCACUCCGAAGAAGUCAGAGAAUAUUUUCAAUGCGCAGCAGGACAAGAGAAAAGAAGAGAAGCAAAGAGAGGUGAUAAGGGGUCGAGGUCGUAUGUUCGUCUGGCAUCAAUACACAAAUACCAUGACAUGAGCUUGAAGAUUUCAAAGAUACAGAAGGUUGACAGAAAGAGGAUACACUGAUUUCAGCUGCGGACAUUGAGCUGAGUCUCUCCCUAAUAGAUUUGUUUCCCUACAAUAUGGCAGAUUAAUGUAUAUUCUUCUGAAGUCAUAGUACAUUCAUGGUCUGUAUAUAUGUUUGUAUGCUGCAAACCUGAGUCCGGUUUCAAAGUUUGGCCGCAGCUAGCUUGAUUUGGAGACAUUUCCUGUUAGGAGUUAAACUUUGGUUUGGAGGCAUCGAGCUUUGGCUGUAACUAGCUUUGUUACUUGGUAUACCUCUGUCAGCAUUCAGGAGCCGGGUAGUUGUUGAGCGGGUUGUGGGAGAGGCGGUCGGCGAGCGCGGGCUAGACGGGAAGGUGAUGCUUGCGAUGG
This is a long non-coding RNA of Triticum aestivum (bread wheat), 679 nucleotides long. RefSeq lists it as uncharacterized. The transcript has 6 exons. The record is from RefSeq and is a predicted model, not a curated record. Lineage: Eukaryota; Viridiplantae; Streptophyta; Magnoliopsida; Poales; Poaceae.